GACGAACGCUGGCGGCGUGCCUAAUACAUGCAAGUUGAGCGCUGAAGGUUGGUACUUGUACCAACUGGAUGAGCAGCGAACGGGUGAGUAACGCGUGGGGAAUCUGCCUUUGAGCGGGGGACAACAUUUGGAAACGAAUGCUAAUACCGCAUAAAAACUUUAAACACAAGUUUUAAGUUUGAAAGAUGCAAUUGCAUCACUCAAAGAUGAUCCCGCGUUGUAUUAGCUAGUUGGUGAGGUAAAGGCUCACCAAGGCGAUGAUACAUAGCCGACCUGAGGGGGUGAGCGGCCACAUUGGGACUGAGACACGGCCCAAACGCCUACGGGAGGCAGCAGUAGGGAAUCUUCGGCAAUGGACGAAAGUCUGACCGAGCAACGCCGCGUGAGUGAAGAAGGUUUUCGGAUCGUAAAACUCUGUUGGUAGAGAAGAACGUUGGUGAGAGUGGAAAGCUCAUCAAGUGACGGUAACUACCCAGAAAGGGACGGCUAACUACGUG
This 497-nucleotide ribosomal RNA is filed under the name uncultured bacterium. RNAcentral's name for it is "partial 16S ribosomal RNA". It matches the Rfam family "Bacterial small subunit ribosomal RNA", at positions 28 to 507 of the family's 1533-position model. The record is from RNAcentral.